GGCACUGUGGCGGAGUGGUUAACGCGUUUGCCUCGAACGUUACGUUUUUCGUAACCAUCUUUGUAUGGAGAUUAGCAAAUUCCUUCGGGAGCGUGUGUUCGAAUCACACCGGUGUCG
This 117-nucleotide transfer RNA is filed under the name Nannizzia gypsea. Its description in RNAcentral is "tRNA-Ser". It matches the Rfam family "tRNA". Rfam says of the family: Transfer RNA (tRNA) molecules are approximately 80 nucleotides in length. The record is from RNAcentral. RNAcentral also lists the same sequence under 1 other name. Lineage: Eukaryota; Fungi; Ascomycota; Eurotiomycetes; Onygenales; Arthrodermataceae.